AUAUACAACUUUCAGCAACGGAUCUCUUGGCUCUCGCAUCGAUGAAGAACGCAGCGAAAUGCGAUAAGUAAUGUGAAUUGCAGAAUUCAGUGAAUCAUCGAAUCUUUGAACGCACCUUGCGCUCCUUGGUAUUCCGAGGAGCAUGCCUGUUUGAG
This 155-nucleotide ribosomal RNA is filed under the name Ganoderma ryvardenii. RNAcentral describes it as "5.8S ribosomal RNA". It matches the Rfam family "5.8S ribosomal RNA". From Rfam's summary of the family: 5.8S ribosomal RNA (5.8S rRNA) is a component of the large subunit of the eukaryotic ribosome. The record is from RNAcentral. Lineage: Eukaryota; Fungi; Basidiomycota; Agaricomycetes; Polyporales; Polyporaceae.